RNAcentral lists this ribosomal RNA (684 nucleotides) under Nocardia farcinica. Its description in RNAcentral is "bacterial SSU rRNA". It matches the Rfam family "Bacterial small subunit ribosomal RNA", at positions 26 to 725 of the family's 1533-position model. The record is from RNAcentral. Lineage: Bacteria; Bacillati; Actinomycetota; Actinomycetes; Mycobacteriales; Nocardiaceae.
AGGACGAACGCUGGCGGCGUGCUUAACACAUGCAAGUCGAGCGGUAAGGCCCUUCGGGGUACACGAGCGGCGAACGGGUGAGUAACACGUGGGUGAUCUGCCCUGUACUUCGGGAUAAGCCUGGGAAACUGGGUCUAAUACCGGAUAUGACCUUACAUCGCAUGGUGUUUGGUGGAAAGAUUUAUCGGUACAGGAUGGGCCCGCGGCCUAUCAGCUUGUUGGUGGGGUAAUGGCCUACCAAGGCGACGACGGGUAGCCGGCCUGAGAGGGCGACCGGCCACACAGAGACUGAGACACGGCCCAGACUCCUACGGGAGGCAGCAGUGGGGAAUAUUGCACAAUGGGCGAAAGCCUGAUGCAGCGACGCCGCGUGAGGGAUGACGGCCUUCGGGUUGUAAACCUCUUUCGACAGGGACGAAGCGCAAGUGACGGUACCUGUAGAAGAAGCACCGGCCAACUACGUGCCAGCAGCCGCGGUAAUACGUAGGGUGCGAGCGUUGUCCGGAAUUACUGGGCGUAAAGACCUCGGAAAGGGGAUUUGUCGCGUCGUCCGUGAAAACUUGGGGCUCAACCCCAAGCUUGCGGGCGAUACGGGCAGACUUGAGUACUCAGGGGAGACUGGAAUUCCUGGUGUAGCGGUGAAAUGCGCAGAUAUCAGGAGGAACACCGGGUGGCGAAGGCGGG